GAUGAACGCUGGCGGCGUGCUUAACACAUGCAAGUCGAACGAAACACCUUAUUUGAUUUUCUUCGGAACUGAAGAUUUGGUGAUUGAGUGGCGGACGGGUGAGUAACGCGUGGGUAACCUGCCCUGUACAGGGGGAUAACAGUCAGAAAUGACUGCUAAUACCGCAUAAGACCACAGCACCGCAUGGUGCAGGGGUAAAAACUCCGGUGGUACAGGAUGGACCCGCGUCUGAUUAGCUGGUGGGUGAGGUAACGGCUCACCAAGGCGACGAUCAGUAGCCGGCUUGAGAGAGUGAACGGCCACAUUGGGACUGAGACACGGCCCAAACUCCUACGGGAGGCAGCAGUGGGGAAUAUUGCACAAUGGGGGAAACCCUGAUGCAGCGACGCCGCGUGAGUGAAGAAGUAUUUCGGUAUGUAAAGCUCUAUCAGCAGGGAAGAAAAUGACGGUACCUGACUAAGAAGCCCCGGCUAACUACGUG
This 481-nucleotide ribosomal RNA is filed under the name uncultured bacterium. Its description in RNAcentral is "partial 16S ribosomal RNA". It matches the Rfam family "Bacterial small subunit ribosomal RNA", at positions 28 to 507 of the family's 1533-position model. The record is from RNAcentral.